GGUUAAGUUAAUAAGGGCGCACGGUGGAUGCCUUGGCACUAGGAGCCGAAGAAGGACGUGACAAACGACGAUAUGCCUUGGGUAGCUGUAAGUAAGCGAUGAUCCAGGGAUUUCCGAAUGGGGGAACCCAACAGGUACUACCUGUUACCCGCAUCUGUUAAGGAUGUGAGGAGGAAGACGCAGUGAACUGAAACAUCUAAGUAGCUGCAGGAAGAGAAAGCAAAAGCGAUUGCCUUAGUAGCGGCGAGCGAAACGGCAGGAGGGCAAACCGAAGAGUUUACUCUUCGGGGUUGUAGGACUGCAAUGUGGACUCAAAGAUUAUAGAAGAAUGAUUUGGGAAGAUCAGCCAAAGAGAGUAAUAGCCUCGUAUUUAAAAUAGUCUUUGUACCUAGCAGUAUCCUGAGUACGGCGGGACACGUGAAAUCCCGUCGGAAUCUGGGAGGACCAUCUCCCAACCCUAAAUACUCCCUAGUGACCGAUAGUGAACCAGUACCGUGAGGGAAAGGUGAAAAGCACCCCGGGAGGGGAGUGAAAUAGAACCUGAAACCGUGUGCCUACAACAAGUUCGAGCCCGUUAAUGGGUGAGAGCGUGCCUUUUGUAGAAUGAACCGGCGAGUUACGAUAUGAUGCGAGGUUAAGUUGAAGAGACGGAGCCGCAGGGAAACCGAGUCUGAAUAGGGCGCAUUAGUAUCAUGUCGUAGACCCGAAACCAUGUGACCUACCCAUGAGCAGGUUGAAGGUGCGGUAAGACGCACUGGAGGACCGAACCAGGGCACGUUGAAAAGUGCUUGGAUGACUUGUGGGUAGCGGAGAAAUUCCAAACGAACUUGGAGAUAGCUGGUUCUCUCCGAAAUAGCUUUAGGGCUAGCGUCGACAUAAAGAUUCUUGGAGGUAGAGCACUGUUUGGGUGAGGGGUCCAUCCCGGAUUACCAAUCUCAGAUAAACUCCGAAUGCCAAUGAAUUAUGGUCGGCAGUCAGACUGCGAGUGCUAAGAUCCGUAGUCGAAAGGGAAACAGCCCAGACCACCAGCUAAGGUCCCAAAAUAAUUGUUAAGUGGAAAAGGAUGUGGGGUUGCACAGACAACUAGGAUGUUAGCUUAGAAGCAGCUAUUCAUUCAAAGAGUGCGUAAUAGCUCACUAGUCGAGUGACCCUGCGCCGAAAAUGUACCGGGGCUAAAACAAUUUACCGAAGCUGUGGAUACCUUUAUAGGUAUGGUAGGAGAGCGUUCUAUGUGUGAUGAAGGUAUACCGUGAGGAGUGCUGGAACGCAUAGAAGUGAGAAUGCCGGUAUGAGUAGCGAAAGACAGGUGAGAAUCCUGUCCACCGUAAGACUAAGGUUUCCAGGGGAAGGCUCGUCCGCCCUGGGUUAGUCGGGACCUAAGGAGAGACCGAAAGGUGUAUCCGAUGGACAACAGGUUGAUAUUCCUGUACUAGAGUAUGUAGUGAUGGAGGGACGCAGUAGGCUAACUAAAGCAGACGAAUGGAAGUGUCUGUCUAAGCAGUGAGGUGUGAAUUGAGUCAAAUGCUUAAUUCUAUAACAUUGAGCUGUGAUGGGGAGCGAAGUUUAGUAGCGAAGUUAGUGACGUCACACUGCCAAGAAAAGCUUCUAGCGUUUAAACAUACUCUACCCGUACCGCAAACCGACACAGGUAGUCGAGGCGAGUAGCCUCAGGUGAGCGAGAGAACUCUCGUUAAGGAACUCGGCAAAAUGACCCCGUAACUUCGGGAGAAGGGGUGCUGACUUUAGGUCAGCCGCAGUGAAUAGGCCCAAGCAACUGUUUAUCAAAAACACAGCUCUCUGCUAAAUCGUAAGAUGAUGUAUAGGGGGUGACGCCUGCCCGGUGCUGGAAGGUUAAGAGGAGUGCUUAGGAGUAAUCCGAAGGUAUGAAUUGAAGCCCCAGUAAACGGCGGCCGUAACUAUAACGGUCCUAAGGUAGCGAAAUUCCUUGUCGGGUAAGUUCCGACCCGCACGAAAGGCGUAAUGAUUUGGGCACUGUCUCAACGAGAGACUCGGUGAAAUUUUAGUACCUGUGAAGAUGCAGGUUACCCGCGACAGGACGGAAAGACCCCAUGGAGCUUUAC
This 2081-nucleotide ribosomal RNA is filed under the name Enterococcus faecalis. RNAcentral describes it as "partial 23S ribosomal RNA". It matches the Rfam family "Bacterial large subunit ribosomal RNA", at positions 1 to 2104 of the family's 2925-position model. Lineage: Bacteria; Bacillati; Bacillota; Bacilli; Lactobacillales; Enterococcaceae. The record is from RNAcentral.